GGAUCAAUUUGCUGGUCGAGACCUCUGGUACGUACUGGUAUUAUUGAUUUCUUUCAUUCUGAUAAAUCAUUGAUGUCAUUAAUUUGGUGCGCUGGGGAAGCAGGACUGUUACCUUGAAAAAAUUAGAGUGCUUAAAGCAGGUUAUCGCCUGAAUACAUUAGCAUGGAAUAAUGAAAUAGGACGGCAUGGUUCUAUUUUGUUGGUUUCUAGGAUCACCGUA
RNAcentral lists this ribosomal RNA (220 nucleotides) under Campeiostachys nutans. Its description in RNAcentral is "Elymus nutans partial small subunit ribosomal RNA". The stretch from base 24 to 220 matches the Rfam family "Eukaryotic small subunit ribosomal RNA", at positions 667 to 864 of the family's 1831-position model. Lineage: Eukaryota; Viridiplantae; Streptophyta; Magnoliopsida; Poales; Poaceae. The record is from RNAcentral.